This 68-nucleotide transfer RNA is filed under the name Faecalispora sporosphaeroides. It matches the Rfam family "tRNA". From Rfam's summary of the family: Transfer RNA (tRNA) molecules are approximately 80 nucleotides in length. Their secondary structure includes four short double-helical elements and three loops (D, anti-codon, and T loops). RNAcentral also lists the same sequence under 1 other name. Lineage: Bacteria; Bacillati; Bacillota; Clostridia; Eubacteriales; Oscillospiraceae. The record is from RNAcentral.
CGGAUGUAGUUUAGUGGCAGAACUUCAGCUUCCCAAGCUGACCGUGUGGGUUCGAUUCCCAUCAUCCG